UGGUCAAGUUAUUAAGGGUGCAGGGCGGAUGCCUUGGCACUAGGAGCCGAUGAAGGACGUGAUAAGCUGCGAUAAGCUUCGGGGAGUUGCACGUAAACUUUGAUCCGAAGAUUUCCGAAUGAGGAAACUCACUUAGAGUAAUGUCUAAGUAUCAUUAAGUGAAUACAUAGCUUAAUGAGGGGAACUCAGGGAACUGAAACAUCUAAGUACCUGAAGGAAGAGAAAGAAAUUCGAUUCCGUAAGUAGCGGCGAGCGAACGCGGAUUAGCCCAAACCAAUAAAGUUUUCUUUAUUGGGGUUGCGGACAUAUCAUAACGAAGAGGUAUCGUAAUUGAAGAGGUUUGGAAAGACCCACCACAGAAGGUAAUAGUCCUGUAUGUUAAACGAGAAGACUUCAGAUAUGAUCCAGAGUACCACGGGACACGUGAAACCCUGUGGGAAGCAGGAGGGACCACCCUCCAAGGCUAAAUACUACCUAGUGACCGAUAGCGUAUAGUACCGUGAGGGAAAGGUGAAAAGAACCCCGGGAGGGGGAGUGAAAUAGAACCUGAAACCCUGCACUUACAAGCUGUGGAAGCACAUUUCUUGUGUGACCGCGUACUUUUUUGUAGAACGGGCCAACGAGUUACGUUAAGUAGCAAGGUUAAGCACUUAAGGUGUGGAGCCGUAGCGAAAGCGAGUUUUAACUGAGCGUUCAGUUACUUGACGUAGACCCGAAACCGGGCGACCUACCCAUGAGCAGGAUGAAGCGAAAGUAAAAUUUCGUGGAGGUCCGAACCCACGAGCGUUGAAAAGCUCGGGGAUGACUUGUGGGUAGCGGUGAAAUUCCAAUCGAGCCCGGAGAUAGCUGGUUCUCCCCGAAAUAGCUUUAGGGCUAGCCUCAAGGUGAGAGAUACGGAGGUAGAGCACUGAAUGUCCUAGGGGGUAUUGCACCUACCGAAGACUAUCAAACUCCGAAUGCCGUCAUCUUAUACUUGGGAGUCAGACUGUGGGUGAUAAGAUUCAUAGUCGAAAGGGCAACAGCCCAGAUCGUCAGCUAAGGUCCCUAAAUGUAAGUUAAGUGGUAAAGGAUGUGGGAUUGCACAGACAACCAGGAUGUUGGCUUAGAAGCAGCCACUCAUUCAAAGAGUGCGUAAUAGCUCACUGGUCGAGUGAUCCUGCGCCGAAGAUUUCCGGGGCUAAAACUUACUACCGAAGCUACGGCAUCAGUAAUGAUGGGUAGGGGAGCUUCCCAUACGGGUUGAAGCAUGACCGUAAGGACAUGUGGACAGUAUGGGAGUGAGAAUGUUGGCAUGAGUAGCGAGAUGUGGGUGAGAAUCCCACAGGCCGUAAACCCAAGGUUUCCAGGGGGAAGGUUCGUCCGCCCUGGGUUAGUCGGGACCUAAGCUGAGGCCGAAAGGCGUAGGUGAUGGACAACAGGUUGAUAUUCCUGUACUACCGAUAACCGUUUGAGAGAAGGGAUGACACAGUAGGAUAAGCUAAGCACACUGUUGGUUAUGUGUGCCCAAGCAUUGAGGCAGUCAAAGUAGGCAAAUCCGCUUUGAUAAUGCUGGGAUGUGAUGGGGAGCGAAAUUUAGUAGCGAAGUAGCUGAUUUCACACUGUCAAGAAAAGUCUCUAUCGAGGUUAAAGGUACCCGUACCGCAAACCGACACAGGUGGGUGAGGAGAGUAUCCUAAGGCCAGCGAGAGAACUGUUGUUAAGGAACUCGGCAAAAUGACCCCGUAACUUAGGGAUAAGGGGUGCCACCAUCAGGUGGCCGCAGAGAAUAGGCCCAAGCGACUGUUUACCAAAAACAUAGGUUUCUGCUAAGUCGCAAGACGAUGUAUAGGAGCUGACGCCUGCCCGGUGCUGGAAGGUUAAGGGGAUCUGUUAGAGCAAUCGAAGCAGUGAACUUAAGCCCCAGUAAACGGCGGCCGUAACUAUAACGGUCCUAAGGUAGCGAAAUUCCUUGUCGGGUAAGUUCCGACCCGCACGAAAGGCGUAACGAUUUGGGCACUGUCUCAACAACAGACUCGGUGAAAUUGUAAUUCCGGUGAAGAUGCCGGAUACCUGCGACAGGACGGAAAGACCCCAUGGAGCUUUACUGUAGCUUGACAUUGGGUCUUGGUACUACAUGUACAGGAUAGGUGGGAGGCUUUGAAACCAGGACGCCAGUUUUGGCGGAGCCAUCCUUGGGAUACCACCCUUGUAGUACUGGGACUCUAACCAUAGGCCAUGAAUCUGGUCUUGGGACACUGUCAGGUGGGCAGUUUGACUGGGGCGGUCGCCUCCCAAAAGGUAACGGAGGCGCUCAAAGGUUCUCUCAGUACGGUCGGAAAUCGUACGUAGAGUGUAAAGGCAAAGAGAGCUUGAUUGCAAGACAUACAGGUCGAGCAAGGAUGAAAAUCGGACUUAGUGAUCCGGUGGUUCUGCGUGGAAGGGCCAUCGCUCAACGGAUAAAAGCUACCCUGGGGAUAACAGGCUUAUCUCCCCCAAGAGUCCACAUCGACGGGGAGGUUUGGCACCUCGAUGUCGGCUCAUCACAUCCUGGGGCUGUAGUAGGUCCCAAGGGUUGGGCUGUUCGCCCAUUAAAGUGGUACGCGAGCUGGGUUCAGAACGUCGUGAGACAGUUCGGUCCCUAUCCGUCGCAGGCGUAGGAAAUUUGAGAAGACCUGUCCUUAGUACGAGAGGACCGGGAUGGACGUACCUCUGGUGUACCAGUUGUUCUGCCAAGGGCAUGGCUGGGUAGCUAUGUACGGAAUGGAUAAGCGCUGAAAGCAUCUAAGCGCGAAGCCAACUUCAAGAUAAGAUUUCCCACCGCAAGGGUAAGACCCCAGAAAGACUAUCUGGUUGAUAGGUCGAAGGUGUAAGUGCAGCAAUGUAUUUAGCUUAUCGAUACUAAUAGGUCGAGGACUUGACCAAU
Molecule: ribosomal RNA, 2902 nt
Filed under: Clostridioides difficile
Lineage: Bacteria; Bacillati; Bacillota; Clostridia; Peptostreptococcales; Peptostreptococcaceae
Description: 23S ribosomal RNA
Rfam family: Bacterial large subunit ribosomal RNA
Source: RNAcentral